GACGAACGCUGGCGGCGUGCUUAACACAUGCAAGUCGAACGGAAAGGCCCUGCUUUUGUGGGGUGCUCGAGUGGCGAACGGGUGAGUAACACGUGAGUAACCUGCCCUUGACUUUGGGAUAACUUCAGGAAACUGGGGCUAAUACCGGAUAGGAGCUCCUGCUGCAUGGUGGGGGUUGGAAAGUUUCGGCGGUUGGGGAUGGACUCGCGGCUUAUCAGCUUGUUGGUGGGGUAGUGGCUUACCAAGGCUUUGACUGGUAGCCGGCCUGAGAGGGUGACCGGCCACAUUGGGACUGAGAUACGGCCCAGACUCCUACGGGAGGCAGCAGUGGGGAAUAUUGCACAAUGGGCGGAAGCCUGAUGCAGCAACGCCGCGUGCGGGAUGACGGCCCUCGGGUUGUAAACCGCUUUCGCCUGUGACGAAGCGUGAGUGACGGUAAUGGGUAAAGAAGCACCGGCUAACUACGUG
RNAcentral lists this ribosomal RNA (468 nucleotides) under uncultured bacterium. RNAcentral's name for it is "partial 16S ribosomal RNA". It matches the Rfam family "Bacterial small subunit ribosomal RNA", at positions 28 to 507 of the family's 1533-position model. The record is from RNAcentral.